RNAcentral lists this ribosomal RNA (459 nucleotides) under uncultured bacterium. RNAcentral describes it as "partial 16S ribosomal RNA". It matches the Rfam family "Bacterial small subunit ribosomal RNA", at positions 338 to 795 of the family's 1533-position model. The record is from RNAcentral.
CCUACGGGUGGCAGCAGUGAGGAAUAUUGGUCAAUGGUCGGGAGACUGAACCAGCCAAGCCGCGUGAGGGAGGAAGGUACAGAGUAUCGUAAACCUCUUUUGUCAGGGAACAAAGACUGGGACGCGUCCCCGGAUGAGUGUACCUGAAGAAAAAGCAUCGGCUAACUCCGUGCCAGCAGCCGCGGUAAUACGGAGGAUGCGAGCGUUCUCCGGUUUUAUUGGUUUCAAAGGGGGCGCAGGCGGUCUUUUAAGUCAGCGGUCAAAGCCCGGGGCUCAACCCCGGCCCGCCGUUGAAACUGGCAGUCUCGAGUUGGAGAGAAGUAUGCGGAAGGCGCGGGGUAGCGGUGAAAUGCAGAGAUAUCGCGCAGAACUCCGAUUGCGAAGGCAGCAUGCCGGCUCCACACUGACGCUGAGGCACGAAAGCGUGGGUAUCGAACAGGAUUAGAUACCCUGGUAGUC